AAAAAGGGCUUCUGUCGUGAGUGGCGCACGUAGGGCAGCUCUGUUUGCUCUUCGUUGGAAUCCACGUCAACAGAUUUUGGAAGCAUCGUUUUUUUAUAUUGGGGCAGCUGAUGAUCGCUGGUCCUGGCGCCCAA
This is a small nuclear RNA of Lepus europaeus (European hare), 134 nucleotides long. RefSeq annotates it as U11 spliceosomal RNA. The record is from RefSeq and is a predicted model, not a curated record. The transcript has a single exon. Lineage: Eukaryota; Metazoa; Chordata; Mammalia; Lagomorpha; Leporidae.